AUUGAACGCUGGCGGCAGGCCUAACACAUGCAAGUCGAGCGGAUGAAGGGAGCUUGCUCCUGGAUUCAGCGGCGGACGGGUGAGUAAUGCCUAUGAAUCUGCCUGGUAGUGGGGGAUAACGUCCGGAAACGGGCGCUAAUACCGCAUACGUCCUGAGGGAGAAAGUGGGGGAUCUUCGGACCUCACGCUAUCAGAUGAGCCUAGGUCGGAUUAGCUAGUUGGUGGGGUAAAGGCCUACCAAGGCGACGAUCCGUAACUGGUCUGAGAGGAUGAUCAGUCACACUGGAACUGAGACACGGUCCAGACUCCUACGGGAGGCAGCAGUGGGGAAUAUUGGACAAUGGGCGAAAGCCUGAUACAGCAAUGCCGCGUGUGUGAAGAAGGUCUUCGGAUUGUAAAGCACUUUAAGUUGGGAGGAAGGGCAGUAAGUUAAUACCUUGCUGUUUUGACGUUACCAACAGAAUAAGCACCGGCUAACUUCGUG
Molecule: ribosomal RNA, 484 nt
Filed under: uncultured bacterium
Lineage: Bacteria
Description: partial 16S ribosomal RNA
Rfam family: Bacterial small subunit ribosomal RNA
Source: RNAcentral